GAGUUUGAUCAUGGCUCAGAACGUACGCUGGCGGCACGCCUAACACAUGCAAGUCGAACGAAGUAGCAAUACUUAGUGGCAGACGGGUGAGUAACAUGUAGGUAUCUGCCCUUUGGCCUGGAAUAACACGAGGAAACUUGUGCUAAUACCGGAUAAGUCUUUACGGAGAAAGCUUUAUGCACCAUUGGAUGAGCCCGCACUUGAUUAGUUUGUUGGUAGGGUAAUGGCCUACCAAGACUAUGAUCAAUAGCUGAUUUGAGAGGAUGAUCAGCCACAUUGGGACUGAGACACGGCCCAAACUCCUACGGGGGGCAGCAGUGGGGAAUCUUGCACAAUGGAGGAAACUCUGAUGCAGCGAUGCCGCGUGAGUGAAGAAGGCCCUUGGGUUGUAAAGCUCUUUCGUCGGGGAAGAAAAUGACUGUACCCGAAUAAGAAGGUCCGGCUAACUUCGUGCCAGCAGCCGCGGUAAUACGAAGGGACCUAGCGUAGUUCGGAAUUACUGGGCUUAAAGAGUUCGUAGGUGGUUGAAAAAGUUGGUGGUGAAAUCCCAGAGCUUAACUCUGGAACUGCCAUCAAAACUUUUCAGCUAGAGUAUGAUAGAGGAAAGCAGAAUUUCUAGUGUAGAGGUGAAAUUCGUAGAUAUUAGAAAGAAUACCAAUUGCGAAGGCAGCUUUCUGGAUCAUUACUGACACUGAGGAACGAAAGCAUGGGUAGCGAAGAGGAUUAGAUACCCUCGUAGUCCAUGCCGUAAACGAUGUGUGUUAGACGUUGGAAAUUUAUUUUCAGUGUCGCAGGGAAACCGAUAAACACACCGCCUGGGGAGUACGACCGCAAGGUUAAAACUCAAAUGAAUUGACGGGGACCCGCACAAGUAGUGGAGCAUGUGGUUUAAUUCGAAGAUACGCGCAGAACCUUACCAACACUUGACAUGUUCGUCGCGACUCU
Molecule: ribosomal RNA, 945 nt
Filed under: uncultured bacterium
Lineage: Bacteria
Description: bacterial SSU rRNA
Rfam family: Bacterial small subunit ribosomal RNA
Source: RNAcentral